GAUGAAGAACGUAGCGAAAUGCGAUAAGUAGUGUGAAUUGCAGAAUUCAGUGAAUCAUCGAAUCUUUGAACGCACAUUGCGCCCUUUGGUAUUCCUUAGGGCAUGCCUGUUCGAGCGUCAUUUAAACCUUCAAGCUAAGCUUGGUGUUGGGUGACUGUCCGCUUCACGGCGGACUCGCCUCAAAAUUAUUGGCGGCCGGUACAUUGGCUUCGAGCGCAGCAGAAACGCGAACUCGGGCCCGUCGUACUGGCUCCCAGAAGCUAUCUUCACAAUUUUGACCUCGGAUCAGGUAGGGAUACCCGCUGAACUUAAGCAUAUCAAUAAGCGUAGGA
RNAcentral lists this unclassified non-coding RNA (332 nucleotides) under soil metagenome. Its description in RNAcentral is "partial contains 5.8S ribosomal RNA, internal transcribed spacer 2, and large subunit ribosomal RNA". The stretch from base 1 to 120 matches the Rfam family "5.8S ribosomal RNA", at positions 35 to 154 of the family's 154-position model. The record is from RNAcentral.